ACGACCUUACUUGAACAGGUUCUGUUCUAUAGGCUCGUACCACUGUAUCCUUGAGUUCUAAGUAUCUGCCCUGGCCAUUGGAUCAGAGCGUGAUUAACAGCCUCCAUUGUCUUCGGGUUGUGGAGCCGAAGAUGAUAGUUCUCAGCCCCAACCUCGGUGUGCUCAUCUUUAUUCCAAGAA
RNAcentral lists this small nucleolar RNA (180 nucleotides) under Nicotiana attenuata. RNAcentral's name for it is "snoRNA Plant_U3". The record is from RNAcentral. Lineage: Eukaryota; Viridiplantae; Streptophyta; Magnoliopsida; Solanales; Solanaceae.